Long non-coding RNA from Macaca fascicularis (crab-eating macaque), 1578 nucleotides. The record is from Ensembl. NCBI's taxonomy places the organism in Eukaryota, Metazoa, Chordata, Mammalia, Primates, Cercopithecidae.
GAAGCUAAUUUAAGAUCUCCAUCCAACUCUAAGAUAGGGUAACUGCCAGAAGACCCUCAUGAUCCCAAAGCCGGAUUUUGCCCUAGUAUAAUGGGUUCAUAUUUGAUUGGCUGCACUUAGCUAUAAAUCCUGAGAAGAAGAAGAAGAAAGACAUCAGAAAAUAAUUGGGCUAGAAAAACCUUAGUUUGAAAGCAAAACACAGAAUCCAGGUAAGUGGGCUUACUGGGAAAGGCUUAUGCCACGUUGCUCCCACAAUGGAGGGCCUUAUGAUGGCGAUGGUUAGGCUCCUGCUCUCCUGCUGCACCAUCAUUUCUCCCAAGGCCUUGGUGGAGGCGUAAGUAUUGGGCCAAUCUCCGAUCUGCUUGGGUGUGAUCUCGUCAGUAACAGCAUUGUCUGUACAUAAAAGGUAGAGUAAAAAGAAUUCUAGCAACAUGUGUUAGACAAUAGACCAAAAGGAAAAUGUGAGACACAGUCAAACAAAACUUCCACCCUUUAGCCAUGGUUCUCGAAUUCAGAACAGUCACAUGAUACCAAGUUUGAGUGUAUACCUGCUCAAAGUAUGCAUGAGCUCUUUUCACUGCUAAGCCCAAUCUUAUCAGUCAAAUCCUGUGUCCUCCCAUCCAGACAGGUAGGUAGGUAGACGGAUAGAUUCAAUAGCAAUGCCACUUUAUUACUACUACUAGUGUAGGGCUAUUAGUACUACUUUAUUAGUACUACUUUAGCGCUUUUACUUUACCAGUACUGAUUAUUCUGUAGUAGUACUAAUUUGAGGUAAUUACAUACAACCUCUUUACUUCCUCUCCAACAAGCUCAUAAGUACAUUCAUUGCACACAUUUUUGAGUCCCAGUCAUUCUCCCAGUAGUGUGCUGGAUGCUGUGUUCAGGGAGCUUGAGGCUCUCAUCCAAGGUGUUUCAGCGGCAGCCCUGUUCAGUGUUAUCCCACAGAAACCCAGUGCAGUGAUCCUGAAGACUUUAGCUUUACAUUUUAAAAAUUUCAUUCAAGGCAAAUCAAAUCAAAGUGACUACUUUUGGCAGACUGACAAUCUGUUUUGCCAAUACUAUGUAAUGCAUUUUGAAGGUCUGUUUACAGCCUAUGAUAAUAACUUGCUAAUUAUUUCCAGAGGUUUUCAACAAAUUCUGAAGUCUGUCAAGUGGGGUGAUUAUAGCACUCUGGAACAACUUCAAAAUCAUGAAUAUUGAAUACUCCUACUUACAAGAUGACAUGUAUCAUGAAUAACUUGAGUUACCAUAGCAUCAGCCUAAUCUUUCUUAAAAAUAUGUCAGAACCAGCUGGGCACAGUGGCUCACACCUGUAAUCCCAGCACUUUGGGAGGCCGUGGCGGGCAGAUCACGAGGUCAGAAGAUUGAGACCAUUCUAGCCAACAUGGUUAAACCCCGUCUCUAUUAAAAAUACAAAAAUUAGCUGGGCAUGGUGGUGUGUGCCCGUAAUCCCAGCUAUUCAGGAGGCUGAGGCAGGAGAAUCACUUGAACCAGGGAACAGAGGUUGCAGUGAGCUGAGAUUGUGCCACUGCACUCCAGCCUGGUGACAGAGCAAGACUCCAUCUCAAAAAAAAAAAA